Molecule: ribosomal RNA, 234 nt
Filed under: uncultured Candidatus Saccharibacteria bacterium
Lineage: Bacteria; Candidatus Saccharimonadota
Description: partial 16S ribosomal RNA
Rfam family: Bacterial small subunit ribosomal RNA
Source: RNAcentral
UAAGCAAAUAGUGAAAUCUUGUGGCUCAACCAUAAGGCUAUUAUUUGAACUGGCAGACUCGAGAAUGAGAGAGGUCACUGGAAUUCCCUGUGUAGGAGUAAAAUCCAUAGAUAUAGGGAGGAACACCAAUGGCGUAGGCAGGUGACUGGCUCAUUUCUGACACUGAGGCACGAAAGCGUGGGAGCGAACGGGAUUAGAUACCCCGGUAGUCCACGCCGUAAACGAUGGAUGCUA